UGCAGAAGCCUUGGGAUCCCGGCAGCUUGGCCUGAAGCUGCCAGAGGCAAUCUUCUCAUUUUCCUUAUUGUGUUCCCCACCACUCCGGUUUCUCCAGUCUUCUAUUCCUUGUGCUGACUUUGUUUCGCUGUGUACAACUCUGCCACAAGCAGAUAUUAGAGGGCUUGGCUCAGCCAAUAGUUUUGAAGCCGCUAACACAGCCCCAAGUUUCAUUCAUUUGCUACCAAAGGAAACAACGUGCCAGCUUAACAAGGAGACAGAGCCACUGUUGCAGGACAAAUUAUUUUGUAUUCUGAGCACUGACAAAUAAAUGAGUUAAAUUCGAGCAGACAAUUAUUUAUAGGAAUUUAGCUGGCAGGCAAUGUUAACACGGGCUACCAUCCCCUGUAUUACUAAUGCUAUAUUAAUUGCAUGCAUACAGCCAGUAAAGUGAUUCAUUACCCUUUGUUGUUCCAGAUACAUUGUGUAUAAAUAGAGCCCACUAUUGAAAUGCCCACUGUCAGGCAUCUCAGACUGAGCACUUGUCUAGAAGAACGACAUAAUGCAUUGUUGUGAUGUGUAAGGAAGACAUGGUGGGGCAAACUGUCCAUACCUUCUUUGAAUUUUCUUUGAAAAGACUUACAGAUGGUGCUUGGAAGGCACGGGGAGAUGGAGGCACGUGUACCUGACUCACAAAGCAGCAGGUGGAGAUGCAGGUACUUUCCCCUUCAGAUGAAGGCGUGGAUGACCCAAGUGCCACUUAGAAUCAUAGAAUCAUUUGGAGCUGGGCUUCACCAGGGUGCAGUCUGCUUUGGAGAAGGCAGAAGUGUAGUGCAAUGCUUCCAAGUGGUACAGCAAAGACUCUAACAACCUUUUCUAUGUUUGCAACAGUUCUGCUGUUGAAGCCUGCUAAAAUAAACCUAAUUCCUAUAUAAAGAAGCAAUAAUUUGGAGGAGAGAGCAUUGCCUGGAACUAAGUGAACUGUUAUUUUCACUGCAAACUCCAAAUCCACUCUUAAGUAUCUGCCUGGUGUUUCUGUAGUAAAUCUUCAUUCUGAGGACAGAGCUUUCACUUUGGGCAUCACUUACUCUUCUUUUCACCAUUUUCAGAAGAAGAUGGAAAUCUUCCUAUAGCAACCUCUUAGAAAAGUCAGAAACAAGUGGCUCAUUCUCGGCAGUAUCACCCAUCAAUUCUCAGAGGCAGGCUUACUAAGGAAGGGACUGCAACACUUUCUCUGCCAAAGUUCUGCAGUUUGUCUCAUAGAAGAUACAGAGGGAUGGCGAAAGCAGAGAGCUGUCCUUCAAGUGCCCUUGCCUAGACAAAAUGAACAGCUUGAGUUCCUAUCAUUAGCAGGCAGAACACCUCAGCAGGAGGCACGCCGCUUGAAACCUAGAGAAUUCUGCAUGAUUACGGCUAAGCAACUCCUCAAAAAUCAAGCUGGAAGUUGUCCUGAGGGAAUUUUUCUAUGAAAAACUGUUUACACUAAGGUUAGCAUGCAUUGACAGAGCCCGAGUAGGAAAAAAAAUGUUAUUUGGAGAUCAACAGGGAGUUUCAGCUCUCAGAGAGAGAAAGGGUUGAUGGCACAUAUCCUCACCGCAAGGAUGAAGUUGUGUUCUUCACCUCCGGGUGCAGUGAGCAGCACCUCCAGCUCCAAGGUGAGGGUGAGCACACUCUCACAGCAUCGCAUAAAUACACAAUUACACGCAGCACACCUCUUCCAGGCUGGGAAAGGCUAUGUGCCACACAGCGCCCGCCUACUUGAAAGCCAUUUCUUUGAAACAGGAAUUGGAACUGCAGACCACAACUGUGCAACAUUAAGGCUGUCCAGGUUUUAGAAUCGUAGAAAAAAAGCUAGAAUAAACCU
Molecule: long non-coding RNA, 1843 nt
Filed under: Gallus gallus (chicken)
Lineage: Eukaryota; Metazoa; Chordata; Aves; Galliformes; Phasianidae
Description: lncRNA (ENSGALG00010010029.1)
Source: RNAcentral